Molecule: ribosomal RNA, 254 nt
Filed under: uncultured bacterium
Lineage: Bacteria
Description: partial 16S ribosomal RNA
Rfam family: Bacterial small subunit ribosomal RNA
Source: RNAcentral
UACGAAGGGGGCUAGCGUUGUUCGGAAUUACUGGGCGUAAAGCGCACGUAGGCGGAUAUUUAAGUCAGGGGUGAAAUCCUGGAGCUCAACUCCAGAACUGCCUUUGAUACUGAGGAUCUUGAGUUCGGGAGAGGUGAGUGGAACUGCGAGUGUAGAGGUGAAAUUCGUAGAUAUUCGCAAGAACACCAGUGGCGAAGGCGGCUCACUGGCCCGAUACUGACGCUGAGGCACGAAAGCGUGGGGAGCAAACAGGG